Molecule: ribosomal RNA, 419 nt
Filed under: Salmonella enterica subsp. enterica
Lineage: Bacteria; Pseudomonadati; Pseudomonadota; Gammaproteobacteria; Enterobacterales; Enterobacteriaceae
Also listed under: 1 other name
Description: bacterial SSU rRNA
Rfam family: Bacterial small subunit ribosomal RNA
Source: RNAcentral
AAAUUGAAGAGUUUGAUCAUGGCUCAGAUUGAACGCUGGCGGCAGGCCUAACACAUGCAAGUCGAACGGUAACAGGAAGCAGCUUGCUGCUUCGCUGACGAGUGGCGGACGGGUGAGUAAUGUCUGGGAAACUGCCUGAUGGAGGGGGAUAACUACUGGAAACGGUGGCUAAUACCGCAUAACGUCGCAAGACCAAAGAGGGGGACCUUCGGGCCUCUUGCCAUCAGAUGUGCCCAGAUGGGAUUAGCUUGUUGGUGAGGUAACGGCUCACCAAAGCGACGAUCCCUAGCUGGUCUGAGAGGAUGACCAGCCACACUGGAACUGAGACACGGUCCAGACUCCUACGGGAGGCAGCAGUGGGGAAUAUUGCACAAUGGGCGCAAGCCUGAUGCAGCCAUGCCGCGUGUAUGAAGAAGGCC